CGGGGGGGGCAAGCGUUGUUCGGAAUUACUGGGCGUAAAGGGCGCGUAGGCGGUUCGCUAAGUUGGAUGUGAAAACUCUGGGCUCAACCCAGAGCCUGCAUCCAAAACUGGCGGGCUAGAGUUCUGGAGGGGGUAGCGGAAUUCCUGGUGUAGCGGUGAAAUGCGUAGAUAUCAGGAGGAACACCGGUGGCGAAGGCGGCUACCUGGACAGAAACUGACGCUGAGGCGCGAAAGCUAGGGGAGCAAAACAGGAUUAGAUACCCUGGUAGUCCUAGCCCUAAACGAUGGAUACUUGGUGUGACUGGGAUUGAAUCCAGUCGUGCCGAAGCUAACGCAUUAAGUAUCCCGCCUGGGGAGUACGGUCGCAAGGCUG
Molecule: ribosomal RNA, 373 nt
Filed under: uncultured organism
Description: bacterial SSU rRNA
Rfam family: Bacterial small subunit ribosomal RNA
Source: RNAcentral